GAUGAAGAACGUAGCGAAAUGCGAUAAGUAGUGUGAAUUGCAGAAUUCUGUGAAUCAUCGAAUCUUUGAACGCACAUUGCGCCUUCUAGUAUUCUGGGAGGCAUGCCUGUUUGAGCGUCAUUAAACCUCUCUCAAGUAUGAUUACUUGGAUGUGAAGGAAGAGUACCUUAAACUUAAGGAGUGUUCUCCUUUGAAAUUGAUUAGCAGAUGGUAAUGUUAUUAAAUCCCUGAUGUUGUAAGAAAUAACAGUGGUUUUGUAGACUAUUAUCUAGCUUUAAAUUAUAAUUUUUAUUAUGGUUGACCUCAAAUCAGGUAAGGAUACCCGCUGAACUUAAGCAUAUCAAUAAGCGGAGGA
Molecule: unclassified non-coding RNA, 355 nt
Filed under: soil metagenome
Description: partial contains 5.8S ribosomal RNA, internal transcribed spacer 2, and large subunit ribosomal RNA
Rfam family: 5.8S ribosomal RNA (bases 1-120)
Source: RNAcentral